RNAcentral lists this long non-coding RNA (474 nucleotides) under Phoenix dactylifera (date palm). RNAcentral describes it as "long non-coding RNA (PDAC_LNC011187)". Lineage: Eukaryota; Viridiplantae; Streptophyta; Magnoliopsida; Arecales; Arecaceae. The record is from RNAcentral.
UUGAAUCUUGGGCCAAUGAGGUGUGGCUUUCUUCUAACUUUUCUUGAGAGCUUUGGAGGCCUUCUUGAAUUCUUCCAACUUGCUAUGUUCCUUGCAAAAUAAAUAAUCUUUCUUCUUGCAACACAAACAUUAGUAUUUAUACUUCAAGGUUUUGUGAUCAUCAAAAUCAAUCUUUAAAUCAAUCUUUGGGUCAUCAGUCUCCCCCUUUUUGAUGAUGACAAAACUUAGAGUAUAUGCAAUAUAAAAUAUAUUGUGUUCUAGAAGUAAUACAUAGCUAAGUUGCAUGAAGUAGAAAACAUAUAUAUUUAAAAACAUACUUCAUGAUAAUGCGUUAGAUUUAAUCAGCUUAACACAAUCAACAUAUUUCAAUUUAAGCUGAGUUGGUGUUCAAUGCAAAACACAAAGCAUUAUGAGCAUAUACUUAGAUAUUUCUCCCCCUUUUUGACAGCAUCAAAAAGAUAGUGAAACAUGAAG